This 503-nucleotide ribosomal RNA is filed under the name Bacillus sp. (in: firmicutes). RNAcentral describes it as "bacterial SSU rRNA". It matches the Rfam family "Bacterial small subunit ribosomal RNA", at positions 22 to 508 of the family's 1533-position model. The record is from RNAcentral. Lineage: Bacteria; Bacillati; Bacillota; Bacilli; Caryophanales; Bacillaceae.
GCUCAGGACGAACGCUGGCGGCGUGCCUAAUACAUGCAAGUCGAGCGAAUCGNNNGGAGCUUGCUCCCUGAGAUUAGCGGCGGACGGGUGAGUAACACGUGGGCAACCUGCCUAUAAGACUGGGAUAACUUCGGGAAACCGGAGCUAAUACCGGAUACGUUCUUUUCUCGCAUGAGAGAAGAUGGAAAGACGGUUUACGCUGUCACUUAUAGAUGGGCCCGCGGCGCAUUAGCUAGUUGGUGAGGUAAUGGCUCACCAAGGCGACGAUGCGUAGCCGACCUGAGAGGGUGAUCGGCCACACUGGGACUGAGACACGGCCCAGACUCCUACGGGAGGCAGCAGUAGGGAAUCUUCCGCAAUGGACGAAAGUCUGACGGAGCAACGCCGCGUGAACGAAGAAGGCCUUCGGGUCGUAAAGUUCUGUUGUUAGGGAAGAACAAGUACCAGAGUAACUGCUGGUACCUUGACGGUACCUAACCAGAAAGCCACGGCUAACUACGUGC